AUUGAACGCUGGCGGCAGGCUUAACACAUGCAAGUCGAGCGAGCGGCGGACGGGUGAGUAAUGUCUGGGAAACUGCCUGAUGGAGGGGGAUAACUACUGGAAACGGUAGCUAAUACCGCAUACCAUCAGAUGUGCCCAUAUGGGAUUAGCUAGUAGGUGGGGUAACGGGUCACCGAGGCGCCGAUCCCUAGCUGGUAUGAGAGGAUGACCAGCCACACUGGAACUGAGACACGGUCCAGACUCCUACGGGAGGCAGCAGUGGGGAAUAUUGCACAAUGGGCGCAAGCCUGAUGCAGCCAUGCCGCGUGUAUGAAGAAGGCCUUCGGGUUGUAAAGUACUUUCAGCGAGGAGGCGUUACUCGCAGAAGAAGCACCGGCUAACUCCGUGCCAGCAGCCGCGGUAAUAC
This 406-nucleotide ribosomal RNA is filed under the name uncultured bacterium. RNAcentral describes it as "partial 16S ribosomal RNA". It matches the Rfam family "Bacterial small subunit ribosomal RNA", at positions 30 to 526 of the family's 1533-position model. The record is from RNAcentral.